Molecule: ribosomal RNA, 253 nt
Filed under: uncultured bacterium
Lineage: Bacteria
Description: partial 16S ribosomal RNA
Rfam family: Bacterial small subunit ribosomal RNA
Source: RNAcentral
UACGGAGGAUGCAAGCGUUAUCCGGAAUGAUUGGGCGUAAAGGGUCCGCAGGUGGCAAUGUGUGUCUGCUGUCAAAGAAUGAGGCUUAACCUCAUCAAGGCAGUGGAAACUACAUAGCUAGAGUACGGUCGGGGUAGAAGGAAUUCCUGGUGUAGCGGUGAAAUGCGUAGAGAUCAGGAGGAACACCGGUGGCGAAGGCGCCACUCUGGGCCGAAACUGACGCUGAGGAGCGAAAGCGUGGGUAGCAAACAGG